GCAGCAGGCGCGAAAACUUUACAAUGCGGGAAACCGUGAUAAGGGGACACCGAGUGCCAGCAUCAUAUGCUGGCUGUCCGGGUGUGUAAAAUACACCCGUUAGCAAGGGCCGGGCAAGACCGGUGCCAGCCGCCGCGGUAACACCGGCGGCCCGAGUGGUGAUCGUGAUUAUUGGGUCCAAAGGGUCCGUAGCCGGUUUGGUCAGUCCUCCGGGAAAUCUGACGGCUCAACCGUUAGGCUUUCGGGGGAUACUGCCAGGCUUGGAACCGGGAGAGGUAAGAGGUACUACAGGGGUAGGAGUGAAAUCUUGUAAUCCCUGUGAGACCACCUGUGGCGAAGGCGUCUUACCAGAACGGGUUCGACGGUGAGGGACGAAAGCUGGGGGCACGAACCGGAUUAGAUACCCGGGUAGUCCCAGCCGUAAACGAUGCUCGCUAGGUGUCAGGCAUGGCGCGACCGUGUCUGGUGCCGCAGGGAAGCCGUGAAGCGAGCCACCUGGGAAGUACGGCCGCAAGGCUGAAACUUAAAGGAAUUGGCGGGGGAGCAC
Molecule: ribosomal RNA, 547 nt
Filed under: uncultured archaeon
Lineage: Archaea
Description: bacterial SSU rRNA
Rfam family: Archaeal small subunit ribosomal RNA
Source: RNAcentral